RNAcentral lists this transfer RNA (74 nucleotides) under Minisyncoccota bacterium. RNAcentral describes it as "tRNA-Cys". It matches the Rfam family "tRNA". Rfam says of the family: Transfer RNA (tRNA) molecules are approximately 80 nucleotides in length. Their secondary structure includes four short double-helical elements and three loops (D, anti-codon, and T loops). Lineage: Bacteria; Bacillati; Minisyncoccota. The record is from RNAcentral.
GGCCAGGUAGCCAAGUAGCUUAAGGCGCUUCUCUGCAAAAGAAGUAUACGCGAGUGCAAAUCUCGCCCUGGCCU